Molecule: long non-coding RNA, 392 nt
Organism: Hibiscus syriacus
Lineage: Eukaryota; Viridiplantae; Streptophyta; Magnoliopsida; Malvales; Malvaceae
Exons: 3
Source: RefSeq, a predicted model, not a curated record
UGCGGCCUCGUAUUGUCCUCUUCUUGAUCCAUUUUAUCCUCUUCCAAAAUGCUUUCGAGAUUGCAUUUUUCUUUUGGAUUUGGGUUCAAUAUGCUUUGAUUCCUGCAUAAUGGGUUUAAGUUCGUUAUAUCAUUCCAGGCUCAGUAUAGGGUAAAUAAUCAAUGACCAUUUGGUUUACGUAGCUGUGUGAUGCUGGUUCAUUUUUAAAAUUUUCGUCUUCCGGUAAGUUUCCGGCAUUUAUUCUUCUGUUGGUUUCUUCAGGGUUUUCAUUCAGGUAGUCUGCAGUUAUAGCACCUUGCCACUUAUGCUAUUGUCACACAGAUGGGAAGCUCGUUCAAGAAGGCUAUAUUUGAUGAGCAUGUGCAAGUAGGUCACGUUGGUUAGGCACAGAA